This 440-nucleotide ribosomal RNA is filed under the name uncultured bacterium. RNAcentral describes it as "bacterial SSU rRNA". It matches the Rfam family "Bacterial small subunit ribosomal RNA", at positions 338 to 793 of the family's 1533-position model. The record is from RNAcentral.
CCUACGGGGGGCACCAGUGGGGAAUAUUGGGCAAUGGGCGGAAGCCUGACCCAGCAACGCCGCGUGAAGGAAUAAGGCCUUCGGGUUGUAAACUUCUUUUAUUAGGGAAGAAGAAGUGACGGUACCUGAGGAGGAAGCCCCGGCUAACUCCGUGCCAGCAGCCGCGGUAAUACGGAGGAUGCGAGCGUUAUCCGGAUUUACUGGGUGUAAAGGGCGCGUAGGCGGGAGUGCAAGUCAGAUGUGAAAUCUGGGGGCUCAACCCCCAAACUGCAUUUGAAACUGUAUUUCUUGAGUGAUGGAGAGGCAAGUGGAAUUCCUAGUGUAGCGGUGAAAUGCGUAGAUAUUAGGAGGAACACCAGUGGCGAAGGCGACUUGCUGGACAUUAACUGACGCUGAGGCGCGAAAGCGUGGGGAGCAAACAGGAUUAGAUACCCCUGUAG